RNAcentral lists this RNase P RNA (357 nucleotides) under human gut metagenome. RNAcentral describes it as "Bacterial RNase P class A". It matches the Rfam family "Bacterial RNase P class A". Rfam says of the family: Ribonuclease P (RNase P) is a ubiquitous endoribonuclease, found in archaea, bacteria and eukarya as well as chloroplasts and mitochondria. Its best characterised activity is the generation of mature 5'-ends of tRNAs by cleaving the 5'-leader elements of precursor-tRNAs. Cellular RNase Ps are ribonucleoproteins. The record is from RNAcentral.
UCGGCCGGGCGGCCGCGCGCGGAAACGCUCGAGGAACGUCCGGGCUCCACAGGGCAGGGUGAUGGCUAACAGCCACCCGGGGUAACCCGCGGGACAGUGCCACAGAAAACAAACCACCGGCGCGCACGCGUCGGUAAGGGUGAAAAGGUGAGGUAAGAGCUCACCAGCGGCGCGGGUGACCGCGUCGGCUCGGUAAACCCCACCCGGAGCAAGACCGAGCAGCAGGCAGGGCGGCCCGCCUCAUGCCUGCGGGUAGGUUGCUGGAGGCCGUCGGUAACGACGGUCCUAGAUAGAUGGUCGCCACCGCGCUUUUUCCGGUAACGGAGCGCGGGGACAGAACCCGGCGUAUAGGCCGAC